Molecule: ribosomal RNA, 433 nt
Filed under: uncultured bacterium
Lineage: Bacteria
Description: partial 16S ribosomal RNA
Rfam family: Bacterial small subunit ribosomal RNA
Source: RNAcentral
AACGAACGCUGGCGGCAUGCCUAACACAUGCAAGUCGAACGAGACCUUCGGGUCUAGUGGCGCACGGGUGCGUAACGCGUGGGAACCUGCCCUUAGGUUCGGAAUAACUCCCCGAAAGGGGUGCUAUUACCGGUUAUUGCCUUCGAACCAAAGAUUUAUCGCCUUUGGAUGGGCCCGCGUUGGAUUAGCUAGUUGGUAGGGUAAAAGCCUACCAAGGCGACGAUCCAUAGCUGGUCUGAGAGGAUGAUCAGCCACACUGGGACUGAGACACGGCCCAGACUCCUACGGGAGGCAGCAGUGGGGAAUAUUGGACAAUGGGCGAAAGCCUGAUCCAGCAAUGCCGCGUGAGUGAUGAAGGCCUUAGGGUUGUAAAGCUCUUUUACCCGGGAUGAUAAUGACAGUACCGGGAGAAUAAGCUCCGGCUAACUCCGUG